GGGGGUAUAGCUCAGUGGUAGAGCAAUCGAUUGCAGUUCGAUUGGUCCCUGGUUCAAAUCCGGGUGCCCCCU
RNAcentral lists this transfer RNA (72 nucleotides) under Spiromyces aspiralis. RNAcentral describes it as "tRNA-Cys". It matches the Rfam family "tRNA". Rfam says of the family: Transfer RNA (tRNA) molecules are approximately 80 nucleotides in length. The record is from RNAcentral. Lineage: Eukaryota; Fungi; Kickxellomycota; Kickxellomycetes; Kickxellales; Kickxellaceae.